AGGCUGUGGCCGGAAGAAGAGGCUGGGCGUCGCCAUGACAGAGAGAGACUGGAAGACCUAACGGUGCCUGCCUCCGCUGCCACGCCAGACUGAGACCGGAAAAGACAAGGCCGGCAAGGCGGGCUGGGCGCCACCAUGACAACCUGAACCAAAAAAAGCGAUCCCUCCUCCUUGACUACACCAGCACCACCUGUCACCAGGGGCGAAGCCUAGACCCUGCGGAGGCGGGGUCGGGAGCUCCGGAGUUCAGGAGGCGGGGCCCGGAGUAGCCUGAGAAGAAGUAAGGUGUAGGAAGCCUUGGCCAUGGGACCAAUAGCCUCAUCUUAAAUUCCUGAUCUCUGGAGGACAUCAGGGCCUCCUACCUGUUCCAUUGUGACCUGGGAGUCUCUCCAGCUCCAAGGUGGAGGGAUGGCUUCACUGAACACGGAGUCUGGAAUUCCAUGCACACUCAUGUGACCGGUGUUCCGGAAAAAGAAGCAGGAGGCGGCUGGGCGCGGUGGCUCACGCCUGU
RNAcentral lists this long non-coding RNA (511 nucleotides) under Pan troglodytes (chimpanzee). Its description in RNAcentral is "long non-coding RNA NONPTRT008027". Lineage: Eukaryota; Metazoa; Chordata; Mammalia; Primates; Hominidae. The record is from RNAcentral.